Molecule: unclassified non-coding RNA, 1245 nt
Filed under: Hevea brasiliensis (rubber tree)
Lineage: Eukaryota; Viridiplantae; Streptophyta; Magnoliopsida; Malpighiales; Euphorbiaceae
Source: RNAcentral
GAAAUUAAUAGUAUUGAACCAUCCACCAUCACCAAGCAUCCACUCUCAAUGAAAAUAACAAAAGGGAGAAAAGAGGAAUUAUAGAAAUCUAGGAAACAAACUAGUUACUAAGUAGAAAAUAAAGGGUAGACAAAAUGUCAAUAAUGGCUUUAAUAUCAAAUUCAUUGCAAUUCAUUCUCCAAAAUCUCCCUUGAAUGAAUGGUCUGCGUUGUAACUCCUAGAAAAUUCUACAACAAACAAUGGCGAUGAGGACAACGCUGCAUGUUAGGUAUGCGAUAUUUCUGAGCCAAGAGCCAUCCCUACCUGUUGCACCAGCUAAUAUAUCUCAUCAUCAGGGAUAUCUGGGUUCAAAAAUUUCAUAGGGUCUUGGAUCAAAUCUUGAUUUCUCAAUGUACGUUUAACCUUUUCAGGGACAGGCAUAAGUGGAAUGAUGCUAUCUCUGUCAAUUACACCGUCAAUUAGCCCAAAUUCUAAAGCUUCAAUUGGGGACAUGUAACGAUCUCUAUCAAUAUCUUUCUGAACUUGUUCAUAUGAUCGUCCAGUGGAAUUGGAAAAGAUUUUGAUAACAUUGUCCUUGUUAUGCAUUAUUUCUCGGGCUUGAAUUUCUACAUCUAUUGCUUGACCACUGGCACCUCCAAGUGGUUGAUGUAUCAUAAUUCGAGUAUUAGGCAUUGCGUAGCGUUUUCCUUUGGUGCCACCGGCAAGGAUUAUUGAAGCUGUGGAAGCUGAAAUGCCAAGUGCAACUGUGGAUACAUCAGCCCUCACCAACUGCACAACGUCGAAGAUAGCCAUUGUUGCGCUGAGUGAGCCACCAGGGCAAUUAAUAAAGAGCCUAAUAUCUUUAGUGGAAUCCAGAGCAUCCAACAACAACAACUGACUAAUAAUAGCAUCAGCGAAGAAGUCAUCAAUGCUACUACCCAAGAAAAUUAUCCUCUCCCUAAGCAACAGCCCCAUUGCGUCUCCUUCAGCACCACGCAUAGCCAUCCCCGGGGACUGAGGAGCAGAGGCAAGUAGCAAGGACAAUUUAUCAUCCGCAACUAGAUGAGAAUCAGAAAGGGGUUUUGAAGUGGAUUGGUGAGAAGUGAGUGAAGAUUUGAGGGAUAAGGGUGUUUUGCGAGAUGGGUAUGGUGAAAAAGUGGGCGAAAGCUUAGGAAGAGAGGCAUGGCGGAGAUUGAAAGAGGGACAGUGAGGAGAUAGAGAAGUAGAAAGAGUUAGGGACUCCAUUGGUAGAGAGGAGAAUUUGUG